AGAACGGAUUUUUACAAACCCGAACCCGAACCCGACUCCAAACCCAAAACCCGAACCCGAACCCGAACAGGACGGAUUUUAAAAAUCCAUAUACAAACCCGAACCCGACCAAAAAUCCGAAACCCGAAUCCGAAAAUCCGACCCGAAAUAAUUAUUUCUCUUUUCAAUAUUUCAAAAUAUAUUACAUUAAAUCUAAACUUUUAAAAUAAAAUUCAAAUAUAACAUCAAAUUUUUAUAUACAUAUUACAUAUAAUGUAAAAUAAAUUCGGGUUCGGGUUGAGUUCGGAUUCAAAAGGGUACAGUCAAAACCCAUAAUCCUCGGAUUUUUAUUUAUCUAAAAUUAUAUCCAUUUAGCAUCGCAUAAAUUCGCUCCGUUCAUGUUCGAGUUCGGAUAAAAUUUCGGGUAU
Molecule: long non-coding RNA, 407 nt
Filed under: Ananas comosus (pineapple)
Lineage: Eukaryota; Viridiplantae; Streptophyta; Magnoliopsida; Poales; Bromeliaceae
Description: long non-coding RNA (ACOM_LNC008524)
Source: RNAcentral